GCAUUUGCAGUCGAAUUCUAUCAACUCGUUACCAGAAAGAACAUUUGUUAAUCUAAGAAAUCUAAAUCUUCUGGAUUUGUCCUCGAACUCUUUGACUACAUUACCUGAAAUGUUGUUUGCCAACCUCUUGAAGCUACAAGAAUUGUUUUUGUCGUUUAACUUCAUUACCUUCUUACCCGAAAGAGUGUUCAUCAACCUUACAGGCCUUCAUU
Molecule: non-coding RNA, 212 nt
Organism: Pocillopora verrucosa
Lineage: Eukaryota; Metazoa; Cnidaria; Anthozoa; Scleractinia; Pocilloporidae
Source: RefSeq, a predicted model, not a curated record